RNAcentral lists this transfer RNA (92 nucleotides) under Intestinimonas massiliensis (ex Afouda et al. 2020). RNAcentral's name for it is "tRNA-Ser". Lineage: Bacteria; Bacillati; Bacillota; Clostridia; Eubacteriales. The record is from RNAcentral.
GGCAGCGACGGCAAGCGGCUAUGCCAGCUGGUCCUGAAAACCGGCGGCCGCCGGAAGGUGGUUUGGGGGUUCGACGCCCUCCGCUGCCGCCA